This 253-nucleotide ribosomal RNA is filed under the name uncultured bacterium. RNAcentral's name for it is "partial 16S ribosomal RNA". It matches the Rfam family "Bacterial small subunit ribosomal RNA", at positions 524 to 776 of the family's 1533-position model. The record is from RNAcentral.
UACGUAGGGGGCAAGCGUUAUCCGGAUUUACUGGGUGUAAAGGGGGCGCAGACGGCGAUGCAAGCCAGGAGUGAAAGCCCGGGGCCCAACCCCGGGACUGCUCUUGAAACUGUGUUUCUUGAGUGCUGGAGAGGCAAUCGGAAUUCCGUGUGUAGCGGUGAAAUGCGUAGAUAUACGGAGGAACACCAGUGGCGAAGGCGGAUUGCUGGACAGUAACUGACGCUGAGGCGCGAAAGCGUGGGGAGCAAACAGG